RNAcentral lists this small nuclear RNA (295 nucleotides) under Carlito syrichta (Philippine tarsier). Its description in RNAcentral is "7SK RNA (ENSTSYG00000022947.2)". It matches the Rfam family "7SK RNA". Rfam says of the family: 7SK was discovered as an abundant small nuclear RNA in the mid-70s but a possible function has only recently been suggested. Two independent studies have found that 7SK RNA binds the CDK9/cyclin T complex (known as elongation factor P-TEFb). P-TEFb activates transcription by phosphorylating the C-terminal domain of RNA polymerase II. Lineage: Eukaryota; Metazoa; Chordata; Mammalia; Primates; Tarsiidae. The record is from Rfam by way of RNAcentral.
GGAUGUGAGGGUGAUCUGACUGUGGUAUCUGUCACCCCAUUGAUCACCAGCGUUGAUUUGACUGAUCUGACUGGCAAGGUGGGUGUCCCCUUUCUCCCUCACUUCUCCAUGUGCAUCCUUCCUGCAUGCUCUGUCCAAGAGGACCGCCAUCCCCGCUAGAGGAGGCCCGUUCUUCGGUCAGGGGUGUCCCGGCUGGAACUCCACACAAACUCUCAAGGAGCAAGUUAUUAAGUCUCGCCCACACCGAAGGAGACUGAUACAAAAUACUCUGAGGUGGAUAUCAUUGGGAGCCAUU